RNA transcript from Artibeus jamaicensis (Jamaican fruit-eating bat), 1431 nucleotides. It is a transcript of the gene named crystallin mu, with no coding region annotated. The record is from RefSeq and is a predicted model, not a curated record. Lineage: Eukaryota; Metazoa; Chordata; Mammalia; Chiroptera; Phyllostomidae. The transcript has 8 exons.
UAAGCGGAACCACAGGCCUCUGCAAGGUCUUUUCCGGAUGCCUGGAGCGCAGGGAUAGCAGUUUCCCCACUCAGGUUAGAAGGCAGGCAGCAAGAUGAGCUUCGCUCCCGCAUUUCUGAGCGCGGCGGAAGUGCAGGACCACCUCCGCUGCUCCAGCCUCCUCAUUCCGCCUCUGGAGGUGGCUCUAGCCAACUUCUCCAGUGGACCCGAAGGAGGGGUCACUCAGCCGGUCCGCACUGUGGUGCCGGUGGCUAAGCACAGAGGUUUCCUGGGGGUCAUGCCUGCCUACAGUGCUGCAGAGGAUGCUUUGACCACCAAGUUGGUCACCUUCUAUGAGGGUCGCAGCACCACCUCCACUGUUCCCUCCCACCAGGCCACUGUGCUACUCUUUGAGCCACGCAAUGGCUCCCUUCUGGCGGUCAUGGAUGGAAAUAUCAUAACUGCAAAGAGAACAGCUGCAGUGUCUGCCAUUGCCACCAAGUUUUUGAAACCACCCAAUAGUGAAGUGUUGUGCAUCCUUGGGGCUGGGGUCCAGGCGUACACUCAUUAUGAGGUCUUCACAGAGCAGUUCUCCUAUGAGGAGGUGAGGAUAUGGAACCGCACCAAAGAAAAUGCUGAGAAGUUUGCGGACACAGUGCAAGGAGAAGUACAGGUCUGUUCAUCAGUCCAGGAGGCUGUGACAGGUGCAGAUGUGAUCAUUACAGCCACCAUGGCAACAGAGCCCAUUUUGUUUGGUAAAUGGGUGAAGGCAGGGGCUCACAUCAAUGGGUCUGUUUGCUGUUUCUCAGCCAUCGGAGCCAGCAGACCUGACUGGAGAGAGCUGGAUGAUCAGCUGAUGAAACAGGCUGUGCUGUAUGUGGAUUCCCGGGAGGCAGCCCUUAGAGAGUCUGGAGACAUUCUCCUGUCCGGGUUCAAGGAUGCCCUCCUGCCCUGGCUGUAUAAGCCAACAGGAGCACUCAUGAGCUCCAUGGCCUGGGCCCAUGUGUGUUCAUUUCACAGGCUGAGAUCUUUGGUGAGCUGGGAGAAGUGGUAAAAGGAAUGAAGCCAGCCCAUGGUGAGAAGACCACAGUGUUCAAGUCUUUGGGAAUGGCUGUGGAAGACACUGUUGCAGCCAAGUUAGUGUAUGAUUCCUGGUCAUCUGGUAAAUAAAACGAAGCAAUGUUGUGUUGAUGUGGAUGCUGCAGCUCAAGAGGUGUUGCCUCCAGUUGUCUCAUAAUUUCUAAAUCAAAUGAGGGAACCCCAUGCCCAGUGAUCUGUAGUUUUGUGCUCAUCAUACCUUAUCUUAAAUAAUGAGAUCCACAUUUGUGUUUGUAUUUAGUGAAAUUAGGUAACCAUCCCUUCUGUUAUGCCAUAUUACAGCAGCACUUACUUUUCCAUGUAUUUCAUGGGCUUUUGUUAUUUUUGGAAAUAAAGCAAUUUUCCAUUUCUGCA